Camelus dromedarius (Arabian camel) is the source of this 1191-nucleotide long non-coding RNA. RefSeq lists it as uncharacterized. The transcript has 4 exons. The record is from RefSeq and is a predicted model, not a curated record. NCBI's taxonomy places the organism in Eukaryota, Metazoa, Chordata, Mammalia, Artiodactyla, Camelidae.
UUGAGCAUAUUGUCAUUGAUGAAGAAUUUUUAUUUAUUUUUGAUCAAAGACUUCACCAUGUUUUCCUGAACUUUUCAAUCUCCUGUUUGCAGAGUUUUAACGUGAGCUCUCCUCGGGCCUGGGAGAAAUUCUGAGAAUGACCCCUGAGAAUGAGCUCAGUGGUGAGAAGUCCAAGGACAGGAUGAGGUCGACAUUGCAAGUGUUUUUGGAAUAAGAAUCAACACACUUAAAGACUGGGAUUUGGAAGUGAGAAGGAGUACAUGGAAGUGAUUCAGGAAAACAAGGAAAUGUGACACAAGUGGCAACAUUUGUCAAAGUUCUAUGCAUUUGUUCCUUUGGAUUCAAGUGAAACAUCUGGAGUCAAUUCUUAACCCAAUGUUGGUUUGUUGUCACCAACCUCUUUGCCCUGCUAUUGAGGGAAGAAAGAUAGAGGGCUGUCACCAGAAGCAAGGAACAGAGGAAGUAAAUUUCCAAAGGAUCUGGUAGAAGAAUUGGUCUAACUGUGUUCCUCAUGAGAAAAGUAUUCUGUUGGAGGACAUGUAAUAAAACAGCAGUCACAAGAUUUGAUUUAUUCACAGCUCUGAAAACUCUGGAAGACCAUGGGGAAGUUCCCUAACCUCCUUUGGGUAUUUCAUCUGAGCUGUUGGAGUUGCAUUACCUAAUCUCUCUGGUUCCUUGAAGCUGCCACAUUCAGUGAUUCUGUCUGUAUUCAAUGAUAGAUACAACAAGGAGCAACCUACGCUGAAAGUGGCCUGAGAUGUAGAUCUGAAAAGAGAAAUUUUGGUUCCAGCCAUAGGAGUGUGUUCACAGAAAAAGAAGCCAGCUAAAGAAUGUCUUGGGUGUUCUGGACAGGCUUGGAAUCCACAGAAGUAUUUAUUUCAAGAGGAUAUCUAUACUGAUUUUUCAUUGAAGGUCAAAGGGAGUUCCAGAUAAACUGCCUGAGUUCUGGCAGUCAAAAAAGAAGGAAAUGUAGUCCUUUGAAACUCUGUCCCUCAUGAGAACAUGGACUACUUUAUCCUUGAGUGAGAGAUGAGCCGUGGGACCGGUAACAACACUUCUAGGCUUCAUUCUUCAAGGGUAGGCGACAAAAGGUAAAUACUAAGACAGAUUAUGAGAAGGUUACACUGGAACUCCUGCUUGUCUUCCUUGAAGGAGUGCUCCAUGAAGACUGCAGGGGCUUCCCUCUCACAG